Molecule: unclassified non-coding RNA, 163 nt
Organism: Cercocebus atys (sooty mangabey)
Lineage: Eukaryota; Metazoa; Chordata; Mammalia; Primates; Cercopithecidae
Source: Ensembl
AUGACCACAUCAAAGACUGAAACCCUCUAUUUAUCCACAGAACAGAUACAGCCUGGGAAACGCCAGUGUAACGUGCCAACGUGCCUAAAUCCUGACCUGGAGGGACAACCAUUGAGGAUGAGAGGUUAGUUGAGUCACAGAGUCUCUGACUAUAAGAGCUGAA